AUGCGUCUUUUAUCGUUUUUGCGUCCUUUUUCAUAUCAUGGCCCUGUAUCUUCUCUUUUGGAGAUCCAUGAGCCUUUUGUUCUGGGCUGUUUCCUUUUCCUUUUUUUUUCCUCUUUUUAUUUUAUUUUGGGCCUCAUUCGUAUGUGCAGAUAUGAUCAGUCGGCAUACACCUGUGUGUUGCUGGCGCUUCAGUGUAAUAUUGUCCAUGUUAUGAUGAUUUACCUGUUCGCUGUUAUUACUCCUGCUUAUUUUGCAUUUUCUUUCACUGCCAGAUGUUCUGCCAAUGUGCUGGUAACGCCCUUACGGCGUAUAAGUCUCAUAUGGAACAAAUUAAUACACUGUUUUCAAAACAUAGUACGUGCACACACACAUACACUCGUAUUAUGGACACACACGCUCACCUGCACACCCUAUUUCUAA
RNAcentral lists this ribosomal RNA (420 nucleotides) under Triticum aestivum (bread wheat). RNAcentral describes it as "partial small subunit ribosomal RNA". The record is from RNAcentral. Lineage: Eukaryota; Viridiplantae; Streptophyta; Magnoliopsida; Poales; Poaceae.